Molecule: ribosomal RNA, 483 nt
Filed under: uncultured bacterium
Lineage: Bacteria
Description: bacterial SSU rRNA
Rfam family: Bacterial small subunit ribosomal RNA
Source: RNAcentral
GAUGAACGCUAGCGGCAGGCCUAAUACAUGCAAGUCGAACGCUCAGUAGCAAUACUGGGAGUGGCGCACGGGUGCGUAACGCGUACACAAUCUACCUCUAAGCGGGGGACACCUCCUGGAAACGGGGAUUAAUACCGCAUAAUAUGCCGAAGUCGCAUGACUUUGGUAUUAAAGCAGCAAUGCACUUAGAGAUGAGUGUGCGUCCCAUUAGGUAGUUGGUGAGGUAACGGCUCACCAAGCCUAUGAUGGGUAGCCGGUCUGAGAGGAUGGUCGGCCACACGGGCACUGAGACACGGGCCCGACUCCUACGGGAGGCAGCAGUAAGGAAUAUUGGUCAAUGGUGGAAACACUGAACCAGCCAUGCCGCGUGGAGGAAUAAGGUCCUACGGAUUGUAAACUCCUUUUGACGAGGAAGAAAAUGUUAGAUUUAUCUAAUUUUGACGGUACUCGUAGAAUAAGCACCGGCUAACUCCGUGCCAGCAG